RNAcentral lists this ribosomal RNA (354 nucleotides) under uncultured prokaryote. RNAcentral's name for it is "partial 16S ribosomal RNA". The record is from RNAcentral.
CCCUAUGGGGUGCACCAGACCUGUAUUAGUGGUACAGAAUGAUAUUGGCAAUCAGUAUAGUCCGACAACGAUUGUGGUGGCAAUUACGUCCCAAAUAAACAAGGCAAAACUACCUACCCAUGUUGAAUUGCCAAAAGACAAAACCGGUUUGGACAAAGAUUCCGUAAUCUUAGCUGAACAGGUACGCACAAUUGAUAAAAGCCGCCUCCAACAUAAAAUAGCGGUAAUGGGCGAAGAGAUUAUGCACAGGGUGGAUCGUGCUUUAGAAAUUAGUUUAGGAUUGGUGGAAAUAUAACGCGAUUUUUGGUCAGGCUAUAUUUUAGCCUGGCUUAAUUGUUUUUCGGAGGGGAGAGC